AAAUUGAAGAGUUUGAUCAUGGCUCAGAUUGAACGCUGGCGGCAGGCCUAACACAUGCAAGUCGAACGGUAACAGGAAGCAGCUUGCUGCUUUGCUGACGAGUGGCGGACGGGUGAGUAAUGUCUGGGAAACUGCCUGAUGGAGGGGGAUAACUACUGGAAACGGUGGCUAAUACCGCAUAACGUCGCAAGACCAAAGAGGGGGGACCUUCGGGCCUCUUGCCAUCAGAUGUGCCCAGAUGGGAUUAGCUAGUUGGUGAGGUAACGGCUCACCAAGGCGACGAUCCCUAGCUGGUCUGAGAGGAUGACCAGCCACACUGGAACUGAGACACGGU
This 334-nucleotide ribosomal RNA is filed under the name Salmonella enterica. RNAcentral's name for it is "bacterial SSU rRNA". It matches the Rfam family "Bacterial small subunit ribosomal RNA", at positions 1 to 330 of the family's 1533-position model. Lineage: Bacteria; Pseudomonadati; Pseudomonadota; Gammaproteobacteria; Enterobacterales; Enterobacteriaceae. The record is from RNAcentral.